Molecule: ribosomal RNA, 253 nt
Filed under: uncultured bacterium
Lineage: Bacteria
Description: partial 16S ribosomal RNA
Rfam family: Bacterial small subunit ribosomal RNA
Source: RNAcentral
UACGUAGGGUGCGAGCGUUGUCCGGAAUUAUUGGGCGUAAAGAGCUUGUAGGCGGUUUGUCGCGUCUGCUGUGAAAAUCCGGGGCUCAACCCCGGACUUGCAGUGGGUACGGGCAGACUAGAGUGCGGUAGGGGAGACUGGAAUUCCUGGUGUAGCGGUGGAAUGCGCAGAUAUCAGGAGGAACACCGAUGGCGAAGGCAGGUCUCUGGGCCACUACUGACGCUGAGGAGCGAAAGCGUGGGGAGCAAACAGG